Long non-coding RNA from Dicentrarchus labrax (European seabass), 368 nucleotides. RefSeq lists it as uncharacterized. The transcript has 5 exons. The record is from RefSeq and is a predicted model, not a curated record. NCBI's taxonomy places the organism in Eukaryota, Metazoa, Chordata, Actinopteri, Moronidae.
CCGGGUUCGGUUCAGACUCUGGAGGUUCUGUUACAGCCGGUUCAGACUCUGGAGGUUCUGUUACAGCCGGUUCGGUUCAGACUCUGGAGGUUCUGUUACAGCCGGUUCAGACUCUGGAGGUUCUGUUACAGCCGGUUCGGUUCAGACUCUGGAGGUUCUGUUACAGCCGGUUCAGACUCUGGAGGUUCUGUUACAGCCGGUUCGGUUCAGACUCUGGAGGUUCUGUUACAGCCGGUUCGGUUCAGACUCUGGAGGUUCUGUUACAGCCGGUUCGGUUCAGACUCUGGAGGUUCUGUUACAGCGGGUUCGGUUCAGACUCUGGAGGUUCUGUUACAGCCGGUUCAGACUCUGGAGGUUCUGUUACAGCG